CCUACGGGUGGCAGCAGUGGGGAAUCUUGGACAAUGGGCGCAAGCCUGAUGCAGCUAUUCCGCGUGUGUGAUGAAGGCCCUCGGGUUGUAAACCCCUGUUGUAGAGAACGAAAGUACACCUGUUUAUAAAGGGUGGUUCUGACGGUAUCUUAAGAAUAAGCACCGGCUAACUACGUGCCAGCAGCCGCGGUAAUACGUAGGGUGCGAGCGUUAACCGGAAUUACUGGGCGUAAAGGGUGCGCAGGCGGUUGAGUAAGACCUAUGUGAAAUCCUCGGGCUUAACUCGGGAAUGGCAUAGGUGACUGCUCGACUAGAGUAUGUCAGAGGGAGGUGGAAUUCCACGUGUAGCAGUGAAAUGCGUAGAUAUGUGGAAGAACAUCGAUGGCGAAGGCAGCCUCCUGGGACAUAACUGACGCUCAGGCACGAAAGCGUGGGGAGCAAACAGGAUUAGAUACCCCGGUAGUC
This 465-nucleotide ribosomal RNA is filed under the name uncultured bacterium. Its description in RNAcentral is "partial 16S ribosomal RNA". It matches the Rfam family "Bacterial small subunit ribosomal RNA", at positions 338 to 795 of the family's 1533-position model. The record is from RNAcentral.